RNAcentral lists this ribosomal RNA (370 nucleotides) under uncultured bacterium. RNAcentral describes it as "bacterial SSU rRNA". It matches the Rfam family "Bacterial small subunit ribosomal RNA", at positions 790 to 1167 of the family's 1533-position model. The record is from RNAcentral.
GUAGUCCACGCCCUAAACGAUGUCAACUAGUUGUUGGGGAGCAAUUCUCAGUAACGUAGCUAACGCGAGAAGUUGACCGCCUGGGGAGUACGGUCGCAAGAUUAAAACUCAAAGGAAUUGACGGGGACCCGCACAAGCGGUGGAUGAUGUGGAUUAAUUCGAUGCAACGCGAAAAACCUUACCUACCCUUGACAUGGAUGGAAGCUUGGAGAGAUCUGAGUGUGCCCGCAAGGGAGCCAUCACACAGGUGCUGCAUGGCUGUCGUCAGCUCGUGUCGUGAGAUGUUGGGUUAAGUCCCGCAACGAGCGCAACCCUUGUUCUUAGUUGCUACGAAAGGGCACUCUAAGGAGACUGCCGGUGACAAGCCGGA